Long non-coding RNA from Diceros bicornis minor, 2776 nucleotides. RefSeq lists it as uncharacterized. NCBI's taxonomy places the organism in Eukaryota, Metazoa, Chordata, Mammalia, Perissodactyla, Rhinocerotidae. The record is from RefSeq and is a predicted model, not a curated record. The transcript has 3 exons.
AGGGUAGCGCGUAAGCCGGUGCUACCUCGUGUCCCUCAGUACGUUUUCCGAGUGCUCGCUCACUCUUCCUUCCGUUAGAUUUUCACCGCACUCUUCGGAGAUUGGGGAGUCAGAGUGUCUAUUUUACAGGUCCUGCUCGACGGCCCUGGGUUUCCUCCAGUCCGUCUCCAUCCUGCGCCUGCGCCUGAAGGGGGGGAGAGGCCCUGAAGACUGACCCUGGUUCCUUUAGAGUGCACGGUAGUGCAACUCUGAUUUUAAAGCAUCCCAGUAAUCUAGCACAGACUUAUAUAAAGGCAGUUCAAGAGACAUACAUCCCUUCAGUCCACGAAUGUUUAUUGGCAGGCACUGGGACCCUUGGCAGUGGAAACAAGAAAAUGAGAGAACUUGCACAACUUCUGCUUGGAUAUGAUACAUGUCAGUUCUGCCCACAUUUUGUUGGCUGGAGCAAGUCAUGUGGCCAAGCCUGACUUCAAAGGGAUGAGGAUGUUCAACUCUACAGUGCGCCCUGAGGGAGAAACAGAAUAUUUAUGUGACACCAUCUUGACUACUACACUAGACAUUUCUUCUUUUACCGUGUGGCUUCUACAGCCACCACCGUUCUAAAAUGAUUGUCCAAACUGAGACUCAGAGAUUAUUUUUUCCUGGUGAAUGGUCAGAUUAAUUCAGCAGGAUCAUAGCACACAUGAGUUGAAGUUAUGGAAAAAGAGGUAGAAAGGUAGGUGGCAGUAAAGAGUUUAGACUUUAUAUUCAAGAGGCAAAAAUGGACCCAUUGAAAGUUUUUACAUGAAGGUAUGUUAUCUAGCAAAUAGGAAGAUUAAUUUGGCAGCUAUGAGUAGGAGGGUUUGGAGGGGAGAGAAAAUAGAUUGGGAGACUAUGGCAAGUGGUGUAGUGACCUCUGGAAUUACACAGAAGGGAAUGACAUUAUCGAUAUAGAUUUGUUUGUUGUCUCUUGCCUCAGUAGGUAAACUUAAUGAAAUUAGAUACUUCCUUCAUUUGGCUAGAGCAAUGUCUGGCAUAUUAUAAGCACUAAUUAGAUAUUUGUAGAAUAAAUGAAUACAUUAGAUCAUUUGAAAAAGAAUUUGGAGACACUUUUUACAUUUCAUUGGAAAAUCUAAAAGGACUUUCAGGACUAGGUUAUUAACUUCACUCACUUACCUGGUCGAUUGCAUCUGGCAAUCUUACUUUAUGUACUGCAGAAAUUUGAGCCAUCCCUUGGGACACAGAGUAUGUAUUAGACUAGAAAAUUCUAACCAUGAGUAAGAAUCUGCUGAGUGGUUUGAUUAUGUCUCAAUAUUUGCAGUAACAAACUGGGACAGAUCCCAGUGUUGUGCACUAACCUUAUGCACAUUCCUCCUAAAUAAUGGCUUCCAUCACAGACCUGCUACUCCCCGACUGCUGAAUGCUGCAGGAAAAAAUCACAGCACCAUGAAGACUGAUGCGCCACAGUUGCAUGACUUCCAACCCAUCUGAAACAUUUUUCUGCAUGUCUCACCUCAGUUCUCUCUCUUACUCUUCACAUUAGUUAUUUCACUCUCUCACCCCUUUCCUCAAGCCAGCCACCUACCCCUUUCUGCCUUUUCAGCAAAUCACUGUCUCCUCCUUCAGAGAAAAUAGAAGCUACCAGAUUGCAAUUCCCUUAACUUGCUCACUGAGGCAUAGACUGCCAUCUGCCCACCAAAUACUCAUUUUCCUUACCUAGUAACAGAACCUAGCUUAUGAAAUUGGGCCACCUGGAAUAAGGAUUACCUGUUCCAGACUCUCAUGCAGCCGGGUGUGGCCUGGAUCUAACUCCUGGCCAAUGGAAGUGUUGUGUAGAACUUUUAGGAAGGGACCUUAAAGGGAGAGGCCCCGAAAAUCCCUCUUUCCCUGUCACCAUCCCUUCUUACCAGGUAAGAACAGGGAAAAGACGGAUAGAGUGUAAGUAGCCAACUGCUGAGCAUAAGUGACCUUUAGAAGCCAUGUGAUGAGGAUGGCAGCAUUGAACAGUGUGGGUUGACUGUGGAGCUGCCAUACCCGCUGUGCACUGCCAGCUCAAGAUGUUGUAUGUCUAAGCAGUAGGUGGUUGGGGUUUUACAUGCAGCUGAACCUAAUCCUAAUACUCUCACCCUCCAACUUACAAACAUCUCUAUCUCACACUUGCCCUUGGUUUUUGCCUCUCAUCUCAAUGAAAGUGUAUCUUCCUUUGUGUAAGCCCAGUUCUUCCACUUGAACUUAAAGAUUUUGUUAUUUCCACUUUAUGUAUUUAUAGUUGGAUAGCCAAUGCAUUCACAUGGUUCAAAAUUCAAAUGAGACAAAAGGUUAUAUAGUGAGAAGUCUUUCUGCUAUUGCCACCCUAGAAAUCCAGUUCCCAUUCUCAGAGACAAUCAGUGACAUUAAAUUCACUAAUUACCUUCCAGAGAUGUUCUUUUAUUAUACAUGCAAUUAAAUAAUGCAAUUUAUUGGCCUUCUCGUGAGCUUUCUCACAAUCUGCCAGUUUAUGUUCAAAGAAAACUUCCUUUUGGUUAUUUCUUAUAGCUUCUGUUUUCUUGAUGGGAUUCCCUGUCUUUACAUUUGGUAUGAGAAUAUUUUGCUUUACAUCAUCACACAUAGUUAUGAGCCAUUGUAGUAUCUCUGUCUGCCAAUUCCAGAUGUUGGAAAUAAGAUCUUCAGGUUGACCCCACAUUGUGUAUUCUCUUGAGACUAGGUCAUAUUUUUAUAUUUCUUUGUAUGUCAGCUAAUUUUGGAAUGUAUCCUGGAUUUUGGAUAUGUUAUUGUAUAGAUCCUCUGGAUUCUGUGA